GGAAAUGUAGCUCAGUGGUAGAGCACUUAACUAGCAUACACGAGGCCCUGGGUUCAACCCUGGCACCUCCC
This 71-nucleotide transfer RNA is filed under the name Fukomys damarensis (Damara mole-rat). It matches the Rfam family "tRNA". From Rfam's summary of the family: Transfer RNA (tRNA) molecules are approximately 80 nucleotides in length. The record is from Rfam by way of RNAcentral. Lineage: Eukaryota; Metazoa; Chordata; Mammalia; Rodentia; Bathyergidae.